AACGGCCGCGGUAUCCUAACCGUGCAAAGGUAGCAUAAUCACUUGCCUAUUAAUUGUAGGCUAGAAUGAAUGGGUUAACGAAAUAAAGACUGUCUCAAUUAAUCACCUAAAAAUUACUAUCUAUCUGAAGAAGAAUAGAUAGUCUCGAAGGACAAGAAGACCCUAUAGAGCUUAAUUUUAAUUAUAGAGCUACACUAUAAAAAUAUUCGGUUGGGGCGACCCAGGGCUAAUCAAUCACCCACUACAUAAAAGAUAAAUUAAUCAAGUAAUUGACCCCUAAAAGAUCAUAAGAACAAGCUACCUUAGGGAUAACAGGCUAAUCCCACUCAAGAGUCCUUAUCAACAGUGGGGUUUGGCACCUCGAUGUUGGCUUAGG
This 376-nucleotide ribosomal RNA is filed under the name Metaphire sieboldi (earthworm). RNAcentral describes it as "partial 16S ribosomal RNA". It matches the Rfam family "Bacterial large subunit ribosomal RNA", at positions 1926 to 2541 of the family's 2925-position model. Lineage: Eukaryota; Metazoa; Annelida; Clitellata; Crassiclitellata; Megascolecidae. The record is from RNAcentral.